RNAcentral lists this long non-coding RNA (1789 nucleotides) under Sus scrofa (pig). RNAcentral describes it as "lncRNA (ENSSSCG00025025338.1)". Lineage: Eukaryota; Metazoa; Chordata; Mammalia; Artiodactyla; Suidae. The record is from RNAcentral.
ACGCGUUCUCCGGCAAGAGUGGUUUCAGCUGUUUUUUUGGACGUGCUAGUAGUUAACUCAUGGGAUAGAAAUACUACCGGGAGUGGUGAGAAACAAGACCUAGAAAGCUCAGAGAAAAGCAGAUGGAGAGUGGAGCUCUUGUCUGUCUUCUCGGCUCCUAACGGCAGCCCCAGAUUCGCAAUGAAGAGCCCCACGCCACAUGAAAUGUGAGCAAGUCCACCCACCUCAUCUACCCUGGCGGCCAGUUCCUCGUUGGACCAGAUCCCUUCUAUCAUAAGCUCCUCCUCAGCACAUGGUUAUUACUGGAAUGCUGGUGGUUUGGGCAACUCUUUUUCUGGUGAGAUGGUGCAGUGGGAAGGUACAUCCCACUUCCAGCGGGUUGUCCCUCGGUGCUGGCUUGGCUUCUUGGGAAAAGAGUGAAGAAUCAGAGCCUACACGCUGCUGCUGAGCUCCACAGCCUCCAUCUUGCCUCCUCCUGUUUAGACGAUGCGGGUCCUAGUUCUGGGAAGCCCUUCCACCGGAUCGCAGAGCCUCUCUGAACUUCAGGCUCCUCAUCUAUAAAAUGGACCUCCCAAGGUGGUGGUUUAGUGCUGUCAGGGACAUGUUGGCAGGNGGACCGUGUGAGCUGUUGUGUCCACAGUAGCCUGGAAAGGCCCUUCCCGCUGAGGCGUAUUGCCCAAUGAAGUUGGAGGGGUGAAUUCGAAGCAAGACCUCAAGCAGGGGGUGAAGCGGACAUGAUGUAGAGAAGCUGCUGCUGAUGGCAAUGGGACCAGAAAAGGGGGGCCUAAGGGAGAACAUGAGAAGCAAAAAGGGCAGCCCCUUAACCUUCAACCUCAGAGGCUCGUGAGGGAGAAACCCAGUCAGGUCUGAGGGGAGAUCUCACAGCAAGGGGGUGGGUGGGACUUGACUCAGAUUGCAGUGGGGAGAAAUUUUAAUGACACCCCCUCCCUAGCAAACCAGCGAUGCAAGAUGGUGCCAGCACAAUAUGGUGCCAGUCAGGAGGUGGUUUGGAAUGGCUGAGGAAGGGAGUCUGGGAAGUGGCUUCAUGCAACGCUGCUCGUUCUAGUGAGAAUGCAGCCAGGUAGUCCUAGGUCCCAGGGGCCGCAGAGCCAAGAUCUGCCUCACCAGCUAUGUGCAGGGACCAUGCACUUUGGCUUCACCUCUUCCUGCCCCUACCCCACCAGCAAGCCCCAGGGACCAGAACCAUCUCUGUCCUGCGUGUGUGUGUGUGUGUGUGUGUGUGUGUGUGUGUGUAAGAAUGCAGGGGACUCCACUCAGACCUUCAACCCUCUUGUCCCACCACCGUGAGGCCCAUGAACAUCUCUCUGCACCAGGAAAUUAUCUUGGCUGGGAGAAGGCGGAAGGGUGAGAAAACCUUGGAAUACUGAGCAAUUUUACUCAAAAGAGACUGAGUUAAUCAUACAGAAAUGGAGCUAUGUCUAAGGGGCAAUUUAAUGGUUUCUUUUUGUUUGUUUUCUUUUUGCCCGUCAGUAGUAGGAAUUAUCAGAUCACGAUGAGAAGAGUAUAAGAAAAAGUAAGAACAAUACUGAUUUGACCCAUCUGGGUAGGUGUGUGUGUGUGAUCUUUAGCCCUCCCACAAUUAUGUCUGUACACGUUUGCUGGGGCAACUGUAUAUUUUCAAUUCCAAUCGUCAGACCUUUCCUUGAAGCUCACGUGUGUUUUGAUCUGGCCAGGAAUUGAGAAUCAUAAAAUCAUUAAAUCUGUAUUAAUUACCUAUUGCUGCAUAGUAAGUUAAUCCAAAAUUUAGCUGAAAUAAAUAUGUAUUAUC